UACGUAGGGGGGCAAGCGUUGUCCGGAUUUAUUGGGCGUAAAGAGCGUGUAGGCGGCCAUACAGGUCAGCUGUGAAAACUCGAGGCUCAACCUCGAGACGUCGGUUGAAACCGUAUGGCUAGAGUCCGGAAGAGGAGAGUGGAAUUCCAGGUGUAGCGGUGAAAUGCGUAGAUAUCUGGAGGAAUACCGGUGGCGAAGGCGGCAUCCUGGACCGACAUUGACGCUGAGGAGCGAAAGCUAGGGGAGCAAACGGG
This 254-nucleotide ribosomal RNA is filed under the name uncultured bacterium. Its description in RNAcentral is "partial 16S ribosomal RNA". It matches the Rfam family "Bacterial small subunit ribosomal RNA", at positions 524 to 776 of the family's 1533-position model. The record is from RNAcentral.